UCGGGAAUUUUGGGCAAUGGGGGAAACCCUGACCCAGCAACGCCGCGUGAAGGAUGAAGUAUUUCGGUAUGUAAACUUCGAAAGAAUAGGAAGAAUAAAUGACGGUACUAUUUAUAAGGUCCGGCUAACUACGUGCCAGCAGCCGCGGUAAUACGUAGGGACCAAGCGUUGUUCGGAUGUACUGGGCGUAAAGGGCGCGUAGGCGGCAUGACAAGUCACUUGUGAAAUCUCUGGGCUUAACCCAGAACGGCCAAGUGAUACUGUCGCGCUAGAGUGCAGAAGGGGCAAUCGGAAUUCUUGGUGUAGCGGUGAAAUGCGUAGAUAUCAAGAGGAACACCUGAGGUGAAGACGGGUUGCUGGGCUGACACUGACGCUGAGGCGCGAAAGCCAGGGGAGCAAACGGGAUUAGAUACCCAAGUAGUCCCUGAGCGGGCUGGCAAGGCGCAU
This 447-nucleotide ribosomal RNA is filed under the name uncultured bacterium. RNAcentral's name for it is "bacterial SSU rRNA". It matches the Rfam family "Bacterial small subunit ribosomal RNA", at positions 355 to 825 of the family's 1533-position model. The record is from RNAcentral.